UGGGGAAUCUUGCGCAAUGGGCGAAAGCCUGACGCAGCCAUGCCGCGUGAAUGAUGAAGGUCUUAGGAUUGUAAAAUUCUUUCACCGGGGACGAUAAUGACGGUACCCGGAGAAGAAGCCCCGGCUAACUUCGUGCCAGCAGCCGCGGUAAUACGAAGGGGGCUAGCGUUGCUCGGAAUUACUGGGCGUAAAGGGAGCGUAGGCGGACAUUUAAGUCAGGGGUGAAAUCCCGGGGCUCAACCUCGGAAUUGCCUUUGAUACUGGGUGUCUUGAGUAUGAGAGAGGUGUGUGGAACUCCGAGUGUAGAGGUGAGAUUCGUAGAUAUUCGGAAGAACACCAGUGGCGAAGGCGACACACUGGCUCAUUACUGACGCUGAGGCUCGAAAGCGUGGGGAGCAAACAGGAUUAGAUACCCUGGUAGUCCACGCCGUAAACGAUGAUUGCUAGUUGUCGGGAUGCAUGCAUUUCGGUGACGCAGCUAACGCAUUAAG
Molecule: ribosomal RNA, 491 nt
Filed under: uncultured Pseudomonadota bacterium
Lineage: Bacteria; Pseudomonadati; Pseudomonadota
Description: bacterial SSU rRNA
Rfam family: Bacterial small subunit ribosomal RNA
Source: RNAcentral